UUCAAGAGUACGUGAAACCGUUUAGGGGUAAACCUGAGAAACCCGAAAGGUCGAAGAGAGAAAUUCAUUCGCGUUUCGUUGCAGGCGUCUGACGGUCGUGCGACGGCGAACGUUCGCGUUUAGCCGCGCCUUCCGCUAGCCGAUCCGGCGACGAACGCGUGCACUUUUCUCUUGGUAGGACGUCGCGAUCCGUUGGGUGUCGGUCUACGACGUGAGGUGGUGCCCGAUAGUCGUUCCUCGCGGAACGUGUACUGUCGGACCCUCGCGUUCCGGCUGACUCGCUCGACGGUAUACUAAUGGUUUUGGGCCGCUCCUGAGAGCGUUCGACUCGUGGCAAGCGCGCCAGUUGCGUUGGCGAUCGGACCUAGUGCCGAUCCCGACCUCUGGUGACUGUUGGCCGCGAAGUUCUCGAACAGACCUUUAAUCGAAAACCGAUCUGCGACGCUAUAGCUUUGGGUACUUUCAGGACCCGUCUUGAAACACGGACCAAGGAGUCUAGCAUGUGCGCGAGUCAUUGGGAAUCGCUAAACCUAAAGGCGCAAUGAAAGUAAAGGUCUUCCUUGCGAAGGCCGAGGGAAGACGGGCGAUCGUUCGCGGUCGCUCCGCAUUCCUGGGGCGUCUCGUUCUCAUCGCGAGAAGAGGCGCACCAAGAGCGUACACGCUGGGACCCGAAAGAUGGUGAACUAUGCCUGGUCAGGACGAAGUCAGGGGAAACCCUGAUGGAGGUCCGUAGCGAUUCUGACGUGCAAAUCGAUCGUCGGAACUGGGUAUAGGGGCGAAAGACUAAUCGAACCAUCUAGUAGCUGGUUCCCUCCGAA
This 818-nucleotide ribosomal RNA is filed under the name Magdalis sp. DDM-2009. Its description in RNAcentral is "eukaryotic LSU rRNA". It matches the Rfam family "Eukaryotic large subunit ribosomal RNA", at positions 388 to 965 of the family's 3401-position model. Lineage: Eukaryota; Metazoa; Arthropoda; Insecta; Coleoptera; Curculionidae. The record is from RNAcentral.